GACGAACGCUGGCGGCGUGCUUAACACAUGCAAGUCGAACGGAAAGGCCUCUUUCGGGGGGUACUCGAGUGGCGAACGGGUGAGUAACACGUGAGUAACCUGCCCUUGACUUUGGGAUAACUUCAGGAAACUGGGGCUAAUACCGGAUAGGAGCUCCUGCUGCAUGGUGGGGGUUGGAAAGUUUCGGCGGUUGGGGAUGGACUCGCGGCUUAUCAGCUUGUUGGUGGGGUAGUGGCUUACCAAGGCUUUGACGGGUAGCCGCCUGAGAGGGUGACCGGCCACAUUGGGACUGAGAUACGGCCCAGACUCCUACGGGAGGCAGCAGUGGGGAAUAUUGCACAAUGGGUGGAAGCCUGAUGCAGCAACGCCGUGUGCGGGAUGACGGCCUUCGGGUUGUAAACCGCUUUCGCUCAUGACGAAGCUUUGUGUGACGGUAGUGGGUAAAGAAGCACCGGCUAACUACGU
RNAcentral lists this ribosomal RNA (465 nucleotides) under uncultured bacterium. RNAcentral's name for it is "partial 16S ribosomal RNA". It matches the Rfam family "Bacterial small subunit ribosomal RNA", at positions 28 to 506 of the family's 1533-position model. The record is from RNAcentral.